RNAcentral lists this ribosomal RNA (391 nucleotides) under uncultured Oscillatoria sp. Its description in RNAcentral is "bacterial SSU rRNA". It matches the Rfam family "Bacterial small subunit ribosomal RNA", at positions 376 to 770 of the family's 1533-position model. Lineage: Bacteria; Bacillati; Cyanobacteriota; Cyanophyceae; Oscillatoriales; Oscillatoriaceae. The record is from RNAcentral.
CGAAAGCCUGACGGAGCAAGACCGCGUGGGGGAAGAAGGCUCUUGGGUUGUAAACCCCUUUUCUCUGGGAAGAAAGUUGUGAAAGCAGCCUGACGGUACCAGAGGAAUCAGCAUCGGCUAACUCCGUGCCAGCAGCCGCGGUAAGACGGAGGAUGCAAGCGUUAUCCGGAAUGAUUGGGCGUAAAGCGUCCGCAGGUGGCAGUUCAAGUCUGCUGUCAAAGACCGGGGCUUAACUUCGGAAAGGCAGUGGAAACUGAACAGCUAGAGUAUGGUAGGGGCAGAGGGAAUUCCUGGUGUAGCGGUGAAAUGCGUAGAGAUCAGGAAGAACAUCGGUGGCGAAGGCGCUCUGCUGGACCAUAACUGACACUCAGGGACGAAAGCUAGGGGAGCG